AAACCAACCGGGAUUGCCUUAGUAACGGCGAGUGAAGCGGCAAAAGCUCAAAUUUGAAAUCUGGCACCUUCGGUGCCCGAGUUGUAAUUUGRAGAGGGCAACUUUGGGGCYGUUCCUGGUCUAUGUUCCUUGGACCAGGACUUCCUAGAG
RNAcentral lists this ribosomal RNA (150 nucleotides) under uncultured Saccharomyces. RNAcentral describes it as "partial 26S ribosomal RNA". It matches the Rfam family "Eukaryotic large subunit ribosomal RNA", at positions 62 to 210 of the family's 3401-position model. The record is from RNAcentral. Lineage: Eukaryota; Fungi; Ascomycota; Saccharomycetes; Saccharomycetales; Saccharomycetaceae.